RNAcentral lists this ribosomal RNA (433 nucleotides) under uncultured bacterium. RNAcentral's name for it is "partial 16S ribosomal RNA". It matches the Rfam family "Bacterial small subunit ribosomal RNA", at positions 29 to 507 of the family's 1533-position model. The record is from RNAcentral.
AACGAACGCUGGCGGCAUGCCUAACACAUGCAAGUCGAACGAGACCUUCGGGUCUAGUGGCGCACGGGUGCGUAACGCGUGGGAACCUGCCCUUAGGUUCGGAAUAACUCCCCGAAAGGGGUGCUAAUACCGGAUAAUGUCUUCGGACCAAAGAUUUAUCGCCUUUGGAUGGGCCCGCGUUGGAUUAGCUAGUUGGUAGGGUAAAAGCCUACCAAGGCGACGAUCCAUAGCUGGUCUGAGAGGAUGAUCAGCCACGCUGGGACUGAGACACGGACCAGACUCGUACGGGAGGCAGCAGUGGGGAAUAUUGGACAAUGGGCGAAAGCCUGAUCAAGCCAUGCCGCGUGAGUGAUGAAGGCCUUAGGGUUGUAAAGCUCUUUUACCCGGGAUGAUAAUGACAGUACCGGGAGAAUAAGCUCCGGCUAACUACGUG